UAACACCUGGAAACAGAUGCUAAUACCGGAUAACAAACAGAUGAUGCCUAUCAACUGUUUAAAAGAUGGUUCUGCUAUCACUCUUGGAUGGACCUGCGGUGCAUUAGCUAGUUGGUAGGGUAACGGCCUACCAAGGCGAUGAUGCAUAGCCGAGUUGAGAGACUGAUCGGCCACAUUGGGACUGAGACACGGCCCAAACUCCUACGGGAGGCAGCAGAC
Molecule: ribosomal RNA, 219 nt
Filed under: uncultured Lactobacillus sp.
Lineage: Bacteria; Bacillati; Bacillota; Bacilli; Lactobacillales; Lactobacillaceae
Description: partial 16S ribosomal RNA
Rfam family: Bacterial small subunit ribosomal RNA
Source: RNAcentral